AUGAGUACACUUUAAAUCCUUUAACAAGGAUCCAUUGGAGGGCAAGUCUGGUGCCAGCAGCCGCGGUAAUUCCAGCUCCAAUAGCGUAUAUUAAAGUUGUUGCGGUUAAAAAGCUCGUAGUUGGUUCUGCGUGCCGCACUGUCGGUUCUCCGCCUGUCGGUGUAACUGGCAUGUUGUGGUAUGUCCUGUCGGUGGUGAACAAAGAUCCUGGUGCAAACUAGGCUUAAUUGCCAAAGUUUGUACCGUGGUGUUUUUGUUUGCCGAUUUCUCCUAUUUCGGUGCUCUUAAACGAGUGUCGAGAUAGGCCGACACGUUCACUUUGAACAAAUUAGAGUGCUUAAAGCAGGCUGAAAUAUCUGCCUGAAUAGUGGUGCAUGGAAUGAUAAAAUAGGACCUCAGUUCUAUUUUAUUGGUUUUAGGAAUAUGAGGUAAUGAUCAAUGUGGACUGGCGGGGGCAUUCGUAUUGCGACGUUAGAGGUGAAAUUCUUGGAUCGUCGCAAGACGCACUAGAGCGAAAGCAUUUGCCAAGUAUGUCUUAAUUGAUCAAGAACGAAAGUUAGAGGUUCGAAGGCGAUCAGAUACCGCCCUAGUUCUAACCAUAAACGAUGCCAGCCAGCGAUCCGCCGAUGUUCCUUUAAUGACUCGGCGGGGAGCUUCUAUCCGGGAAACCAAAGCUUUUGGGUUCCGGGGGAAGUAUGGUUGCAAAGCUGAAACU
RNAcentral lists this ribosomal RNA (715 nucleotides) under Xenocaucus kimbozensis. Its description in RNAcentral is "SSU rRNA". It matches the Rfam family "Eukaryotic small subunit ribosomal RNA", at positions 514 to 1144 of the family's 1831-position model. Lineage: Eukaryota; Metazoa; Arthropoda; Insecta; Hemiptera; Reduviidae. The record is from RNAcentral.